AUUCAGUUGAAAAGUCUCAAAUAAGACGAAACCUGCGUCGUGGAU
Schistosoma margrebowiei is the source of this 45-nucleotide non-coding RNA. The record is from Rfam. Lineage: Eukaryota; Metazoa; Platyhelminthes; Trematoda; Strigeidida; Schistosomatidae.